RNAcentral lists this ribosomal RNA (252 nucleotides) under uncultured bacterium. Its description in RNAcentral is "partial 16S ribosomal RNA". It matches the Rfam family "Bacterial small subunit ribosomal RNA", at positions 524 to 776 of the family's 1533-position model. The record is from RNAcentral.
UACGUAGGGUGCGAGCGUUGUCCGGAAUUACUGGGCGUAAAGAGCUCGUAGGUGGUUUGUCGCGUUGUUCGUGAAAACCGGGGGCUUAACCCUCGGCGUGCGGGCGAUACGGGCAGACUUGAGUACUGCAGGGGAGACUGAAUUCCUGGUGUAGCGGUGGAAUGCGCAGAUAUCAGGAGGAACACCGGUGGCGAAGGCGGGUCUCUGGGCAGUAACUGACGCUGAGGAGCGAAAGCGUGGGGAGCGAACAGG